AUGUUGAAAGUGUGAAUAAAAAAAAAAAAUCUGUUCUUGUCAGUUUAAUAUCUGAUACGUCCCCUACCCGGGGACUACGUAUUAAAUUGAUUUUUGGAUAACGGAGCUGGAGCCGGGGCUUGCUCUGUCCACUCCACGCAUCGGCCUGGUAUUGCAGUGUCUCCAGGAACGGUGUGCUUCCC
Small nuclear RNA from Cyprinus carpio carpio, 182 nucleotides. Its record names the gene U2. It matches the Rfam family "U2 spliceosomal RNA". From Rfam's summary of the family: U2 is a small nuclear RNA (snRNA) component of the spliceosome (involved in pre-mRNA splicing). Complementary binding between U2 snRNA (in an area lying towards the 5' end but 3' to hairpin I) and the branchpoint sequence (BPS) of the intron results the bulging out of an unpaired adenosine, on the BPS, which initiates a nucleophilic attack at the intronic 5' splice site, thus starting the first of two transesterification reactions that mediate splicing. NCBI's taxonomy places the organism in Eukaryota, Metazoa, Chordata, Actinopteri, Cypriniformes, Cyprinidae. The record is from Ensembl.